GGCUCAGGACGAACGCUGGCGGCGUGCCUAAUACAUGCAAGUCGAACGGUCUUUCUAUGGAAGCUUGCUCCACUGAGAAGAUAGUGGCGAACGGGUGAGUAACACGUGGGUAACCUGCCCAUAAGAGGGGGGAUAACAUCCGGAAACGGGUGCUAAUACCGCAUAGUUUUCUUGAUCGCAUGAUUGAGAAAGGAAAGACGGCCUUUGUGCUGUCGCUUAUGGAUGGACCCGCGGCGUAUUAGUUAGUUGGUGAGGUAACGGCUCACCAAGACGAUGAUACGUAGCCGACCUGAGAGGGUGAUCGGCCACAUUGGGACUGAGACACGGCCCAAACUCCUACGGGAGGCAGCAGUAGGGAAUCUUCCGCAAUGGACGAAAGUCUGACGGAGCAACGCCGCGUGAGUUGAAGAAGGUUUUCGGAUCGUAAAACUCUGUUGUCAGAGAAGAACAAGUUGGGGAGUAACUGCUCCAGCCUUGACGGUAUCUGACCAGAAAGCCACGGCUAACUACGUGCCAGCCGCCGC
This 524-nucleotide ribosomal RNA is filed under the name uncultured bacterium. RNAcentral describes it as "bacterial SSU rRNA". It matches the Rfam family "Bacterial small subunit ribosomal RNA", at positions 21 to 518 of the family's 1533-position model. The record is from RNAcentral.